GAGCUGUGGAAUUGGAAGACGGCAUCUUCGGAUGCAUGACCUUUCCCGUGCUUUUUAGAACAUAGAUGGCACCAGUCAGGUGACCAUCGAACGCAAUACGUCGAGUAUGGCGAUUUGGUUGUCCUUCGAGCGCUAAGCGAGAAGGGCGGAUAGCCAGAUCCCGCUCAGAUAUGGCGAGACCCGCCGUCCACGUUUCUCUUUCUCACAAGGAUACGAACCACGCCGCAUCAUGUUGCGUGCUUAACGAAUGGGCCCGUAGCUCAGGUGGUUAGAGCGCACGCCUGAUAAGCGUGAGGUCGGCAGUUCGAGUCUGCCCGGGCCCACCAUUCGCUAACGCUCAUGGUGACCCCGGCCAGUCUCUCUAGUUUGUUUGUCCUCGCGAUCUUCGAUCGCUGCGGGCAAACGGGCCGGGCCCUUCGGAGCGAUCCGGAGCGCAUCGAAGAUGGGGCUGUAGCUCAGCUGGGAGAGCACCUGCUUUGCAAGCAGGGGGUCAGCGGUUCGAUCCCGCUCAGCUCCACCAUUUUUGGAACUGGGGCGCCGGACGACCGGCGACGGCCUUUGGCCUUGCGAAGCCUUGCUUCGUUUGAGUGCCAAAGCGUGGGUUGGAUAUCCUUGGAGAAAAAAUAGGUUUGCAUCGUCUCCAUCGUGAGACGAAUGCCUGUUCUGCUUACAUUGUGAAGAGAAGAUAUGUCUGGAAGCUUCCAGGUGUUGAUGGUGAUCGAAAGGUUGCCUGAGACGUCCGAGCCCAGUCCCGAAGAAGCCAUGGAUGGUCUAGCCGACCGGAAAUGGAAGAGGGUCUGGAGGUAGGAGGGAAGUCUUGUCCUUGAGGCAUGAUCGUUGUUGGGGUGUUCUUCGGAACGCGCCUCUGAUGGUCGUGUCGGAUUGGUGUUGCCUGACCGCGCAUCACCGGACAGAUCUCGAGAAGCUGGUCUUAAGAUAUGGCCUCGAAGUCGCUCGGCGUGACUUUUGUGAGGACCAUAUCGAACACGUCGAUGGCAUUGUUGGAAAGCGCGAUUGUAAAAGGUAAUCGCGCAUAGCUGGUCUGGCGACUGCAAGGUCUCCGGAUUUUGGCUGCUGCGGCAUACGAAAGUUGCCCGGAUGGCCAGAUUUGGCACCCCUUCGAGCGCAAGCGAGGAGGAUAGGUUUGCCAAAUCCAGCAAAGACGAUGAGCAUUGGCAAUGAGAACGAUCAAGUGAAAGAAGGGCAUUUGGUGGAUGCCUUGGCAUGCACAGGCGAUGAAGGACGUGAUACGCUGCGAAAAGCCGUGGGGAGCUGCGAAUGAGCUU
RNAcentral lists this unclassified non-coding RNA (1286 nucleotides) under Sinorhizobium sp. RTM17. RNAcentral's name for it is "partial contains 16S-23S ribosomal RNA intergenic spacer and 23S ribosomal RNA". The stretch from base 250 to 323 matches the Rfam family "tRNA". The record is from RNAcentral. Lineage: Bacteria; Pseudomonadati; Pseudomonadota; Alphaproteobacteria; Hyphomicrobiales; Rhizobiaceae.